RNAcentral lists this ribosomal RNA (406 nucleotides) under uncultured bacterium. Its description in RNAcentral is "partial 16S ribosomal RNA". It matches the Rfam family "Bacterial small subunit ribosomal RNA", at positions 29 to 526 of the family's 1533-position model. The record is from RNAcentral.
AGUGAACGCUGGCGGUAGGCCUAUCACAUGCAAGUCGAACGAGUGGCGGACGGGUGAGGAAUACAUCGGAAUCUACUCUGUCGUGGGGGAUAACGUAGGGAAACUUACCCUAAUACCGCAUAAGUUUGCAUGAGCCGAUGUCGGAUGAGCUAGUUGUCGGGGGAAAGGCCCACAAAGGCGACGAUCCGUAGCUUGUCUGAGAGGAUGAUCAGCCACACGGGAACGGAGACACGGGCCAGACUCCUACGUGAGGCAGCAGUGGGGAAUAGUGGACAAUGGGCGCAAGCCUGAUCCAGCCAUACCGCGUGGGUGAAGAAGGCCUUCGGGUUGUAAAGCCCUUUUGUUGGGAAAGCGGUACCCAAAGAAUAAGCACCGGCUAACUUCGUGCCAGCAGCCGCGGUAAUUC